UUUAAAAAUAAUUUAUUAAAUUUGAAGAUAUGUUUACUUGAAUAAAAUGAUUGUAUUCGAUAAAAACGAAAAGAAUUUUUUAUUUACAGGAAACACAUAUUUUUUAAUUUGUCAUAUAUUAUAUAGAAGACGUGAACGUCUCACGCGUGAAUAGGUGAUUUCAAUCUACUACGAGGUAGUAAAUUUUUUGUGAGCAAGAUGCACCUACUGGGUGAAUAAAAGGGGCUCACUGAUAGUUCAAACAAAUAAAAUUGCGCUCGACAUUUAGUAUGGCGAACUGAGUCCUCAGUCUACACUGAGAAAAAAGAUACUUAAAAAAAAUUUUAAUUUUAGUAAAUCAUGUGUUUGCAUAAAACUGUGCAUGCAUUUUUUUUUAAUUUAGAAGUGGUUUUUUGAAGAAUAUAAAUCUCCUAUUAAGUAAAUUAUUUCUCAUAUUUUUUGGACUUCUCUGGACUUCUUCAUCACUACUACAUAUAUUUACAUUAAAAUAAUUACAAUUUAUUUUAAUAUUUUGACAAUAUCUAAAUGUCAAAUUAUUUAGAUGAAGCAGAUUAUGUUUUUUCAGUAAAUAUAAAUCGGAAGUUAAGCGAUACUUCUUCUACGGGUAAAAGUUACCAAAACAAAACUAUCAGUUUAGUGAUUAACCAUGAAUAAAAAAUGGAAUUUUUAUUUUAAUCUGAGAUUAAAUCCAAUUUUCAGAUUAACUAUAUUACAGAAUGAAAAAUAGGGCUAUAGAGGAAUAGCUGCCACUUUCUUAGCGAUUAUCUAUUAAUGUAGCGAUUAUCUUUUAAUUUCAGCUAAGGAUCUAAGCAGAAAGAUUGCCGUAAUAAACAUAGUCGUAAUCGUAGUCAUAAAUCAACUCACAGAGAUCGAUAUUACUAUGACUAUUAUGGCAGUCUUUCUGCUUAGCUCUAAUAAAUUUAUAUCUUGUAGCACAUGCAUGUAUUUUAAUUUUAGUAGUCAACUUCUAGCAAUAUGAGAGGAAAUCAAUUAUUACUAUUUAGCUGAUAUUACUAACAAUAAAUCACUUCUUUGGGUGUAUGUGAAAUCCCGAAUUGGGGAAUAUCUCUAGUUAAUACCUUAUCCCGAGCAAGGGAAUAUUGCAGAUGUGCGUACAUCCACAUAUUGCGCCGCGACGCUUCCGGCCUGACGUCACAUCCGCCUGCCUAAGCGUAACGGGUUGUAUUCGUCCGCGUUGUUACCGUACGGACGGACGUGGCAGCAGUACCACCACCACCGUCACAAUGUUAUGCCCGAUUAACGUGGAAACGGACAAAGCCCUCAGCUUUCAUGUAGAGCGCCGUGUCCGACAUGCCGUUAAUCGCUGACUUUAAUAAGCACGCCCGGAGAGCUUGCAAGGACCCGGUCGGUCCGCGAUGACAAUCGAUCGCCCCGGUGCACGGCGUGGGCGCCGUCAUUGUAACGCUUCCGAGCGAAGUUGCACAAUGAAUCCCGCAACUUCGGUUUAACUAUAACAGUGUAAGCUUAGUAGGUUGAGAUAAAGGGCCAAAUUAUUAUUAUCGGAGAAAUCAAGGAUCACCUGCUCGAUCUACGAGCAAAUUCUUUCGAUCCCUUUUAUAUGCAUUCAAUUCUACACACAGAAAAACACAUUAAAAAUAAUUGUGAAAAGUACUUUCGCAGAAGAAAGAUCCGUGUAAGGAUCUGCAAAUUAAUACGAGCAAAAGAUAGCGAGAGGAAGGAUGGUCAGCAGUCUGCGAAGCGCAACAUUUAGCUUCCGGAGAAAUAUCUAUUACCUUAAUGUGCUCUAAUACGCUUGAAUGUGUUCAUUGCAGAUUAAUUAUCUUAAUGCCAGCUUUCGUAGUGCCUCGCGUAACAUUUUAGGAAAAUUUGAUUACUGCGGAUAAGUCUAGGAAGCACAGGGUAUUUCAUGUAGAGCGUGAUCCACGCGUAGAUCUUAGAAAUUACAAGAGACGGAAAAAAUUAUCAAAGAUCAAAGUUAGACUUAUGAAUAUUAAUAUGCCCAAAGCGGAGCUAAUCUGCAGCAUUCAUCUUUUCAUUUAGAGCGCCAACUAAUUAAUUAAAGUUGAAUUUACCUUGAAUAGCGUUUGCGCAUAUGUGUUAACGAAAAGUUCACGUCGGAUAUCUCUGAUAAAGUACGAUGACUCCAGAUUAAUUCAAACGAUAUUUAAUCCUUUGGGGGCCAGUGAUAAUUAUUUGCAAUGUUCACUUUUCACAUGUAGGUAUAAGAAUGCAAACUUCGAAAGUAACGUUAUUACUUGCCCCGUUACCAUUCUAUUUAUUAUAAUACUUUUUUUAUAACGGUUGUUAUUUUUUAAAUAUGUUUUUAUCUAUUUUUAAGGGUAACGAUUACCCUUACAUUACAUUUUUAUAGUAAAAGCCAUUACACAUACAUUUUUGUAACUGUUAUCGGUUAUAAGAAAUUAAGCAAUGCGAUUUGUCGAAAUCUUAUGGAAAUAUAUGCAAUGGCCUUAACAGUGACAAACUUUAUUUUCACUUUGUAAACGUAUAAUACAUGCUCAUAAAUAAUGUUACAAUUAAUCAAAAUUGUUAAAUACAGAUUUCGUACUUAAAUUAGUUAAAUAAUAACUUAAACAAUUGGAUACCACUUUUUAAAAAAGUAUCAAAAUUUUAUAAAAAAGUAAUAAAAAAAGAAACAAAAUUAUUUCUUUCUAAGUAACAAUAAUAUGUUACUUUUAUAAAAUAAGAUUUCACAGCCAUAUAAAAAUGUUUCAAUAAAUUCAGGAUGUAUGCAGUUACUGAUGAGGUAUCACGUAAGUAAAAAGUUUUCGACAUAAUGUCAGAUAUACAUACAUAAAAUAAUCAAUUGUACCUUUAAUUCGUUAUACUUAUUUAUUUCAAUUUUUUAUUUUUGUUUUAUAAUGAAUAUUUUAAAGAAUAUUUUAGUGCAAACAGAAUUUAUUUUGUCAUUUUUAAGAUGUUGAAAACUUUGAAAUUUAGAUAUACGUUAUUAUUCCUUGGGUUCUUCUAUAGUGCUCCUUAUUAUCAAAAAAGUUAGACGC
This 3002-nucleotide long non-coding RNA is filed under the name Monomorium pharaonis (pharaoh ant). RNAcentral describes it as "uncharacterized LOC118645485". Lineage: Eukaryota; Metazoa; Arthropoda; Insecta; Hymenoptera; Formicidae. The record is from RNAcentral.